GCACUUUUCAUUUCGUUUAUUUGUAUAAAUUCUGAAGUCAGGGUCUAGCCUGAGCCUAGAAAGCCAGUCUCACACUAGACGGGUGCUCAGGCCCCCACCUGGACCGAGCACACCCCUCCCUCACCCUCAUCCAGGGCUUCAAGGGGUGCUGAAGACGGAGGGUGUCGAGGAGGGGGUCAGGGAGGUAGGCCCGAACUGGAGGAGUUCAUGUGUGCACACUUCAACCUCAUUAGGCAACGGGCUUCCUGGGCCAGGGUCAGAACUCUGUCCUUCAACCUGCCUCAGGGCCAUCUCCUACCUAUUUUCAGGGCCAGAGGCUAGCCCAGGGCUUGGUGGAGAGAGAAAGCUCCCUGGUCCCUGCAGGAAAACCUCUGCUCCCUCCCUUUCUUCAUCCUUCUCCCCCAGUGCCUGCCCCAUCACACUGAAGGGCCAAGCCAGCAGCAGCCCCAGCCCGUGGCCCUCUCUGUCUGCUUCUCCUGCCUGCCUCCCACCUCCUUUCCUCUUCUCAGGCUGAUCUCUCCCCUGCCCUCCCUUUUCCUGUCCUGCUCCUGGGCUGGGCUGUCUUCCCUUGGGUACAGGGACUCGGGACUCGGGCCACGAGGUUCUUGUGGCAGCGCUGAGGACUGAGCCGCCUGUGGUCCUCUCACAAGCCCACUUUUAAUCCCAUUGACCUCUCGUUAUACUACAGCGCAUAAAUUCAGAUUUGGAGAGCUUAUGUUCCAUCAUAAAUUGGGCUGGCAGACUUCCGAUCAACAAGAUAAAGCUGUCUCCUGUGAGGUGGGUGUUUUAUUAGUCUUGGCCUCGAUGCUGCAGGCACUGAGAUUGGGGGGAGGAGGGGUGAGUCCUCUGUUCUGGAAUCCUCCUGUGCUGUUCAGAGCAGCCUGAUGGUACCCAGAGAUCCAACUGCUUCCUGUCAUCACGGGCAGGCACCAGGAACCUAGGCAUCCCCUGGACCUGGGCUGUAAAUGCCCUAGACCCCCAUCCCCCCAGCACCAGACCGAGGGCCCACUCCUCAGUCCUCAGGCUGGACACUCGAGGGUCACAACAGAGGCUCAAUGUGCACCUAAGCAUGUGUAUGUCUGUGCCCUUCCCUCCCUGGUGGACCUUUGAGAGCCUGGCCAGAGGCAGAGUAGGGUUCAGGGAUCACGGGCACCUGGAUCUGCCUGGAACCCUGGGGGCCAAAUGGCUGGAAGUGGGGACCCAGAAGAGGGAAGUCAAGUCCCCAGCUCCAGAGAUGUGGUGACCACAUCUAGCUCUACUUGCAGGUACAGACACAACCCAUCCAGGGACCCCACAGGCAGACAUGGGGAGGUCUUGGCAGCUGUGGGCCGCUCUGGGCCUAGGCUCUUGCCACUCACUCAGAAUUGGGAGUGAUGUCUGCUGGCCUCACCUGCACCCCCCCCCCCCAGGGGUCAGGUCUGUCUUCAGAAUCUCAGUCAACACCACCUCCCUCUGCCCCUGACAGUUCCAGCUUCUGUACCAGCUUGCCAGCAUCACUUCUCAGUGAAAUCACCCAAAUCAGCAUUCCCAGGCUCCGCCUGACACCUUUGGGCACCCUUGUCUGCCCAGGGCCUCAGCACCACUCACUGUAGGAAAUCUAUGGGUCCAAGAUAUGUGCUGGUGUUCUGGGGGUACAGAGGACCCUGACAGGAAAGGAAGAUAAUCCAGGGAGGCUUCUUGGAGGAGGGGGUGCUGCUGUGAGUCUUGAAGAUAAGUAGGUGGUACCAGGGCCAACAUGACCACCAUGCGCAGGGAGCAUAGAACCUGGACCCUAGUACAUUUAGAGACCACAAAAACAUUUUACUUUUAAUUUCCCUUAAAACCAGAAGGGAAAAAAUAAUAAUGAAUAUUGAAUAAUGAAUCUAUCAUGGAAUAUAUUUGUCUUUUUAUCAAGAGUUAUAAAAUAUAAUUUAAAAUUUUUCAUGGGAUGCCUGGGUGGCUCAGUGGUUGAGCAUCUGCGGGGGAUCAAGUCUCAUACUGGGCUCCCUACGAGGAGCUUGCUUCUCCCUAUGUCUAUGUCUCUGCCUCUCUGUGUGUAUGUGUGUCUCUCAUGAAUAAAUAAAUAAAAUCUUUAAAAAAAUUUUUUUUAAUGGAGGAAAGGACUCCCAAAUGCAACAGUUGCUACACAACUGUUAAUUGGGACCAUGGAAUUGUGAUAUGAGGAGUGGUGCUCCUGAGCAGAGGUGACAGCUCAGUGGUGCUCAAACACUGAAUAAACACAGGGAAAUAGGAAGCUGAACCCUGGGGCAGAGGUGAGGCCUGCAGGCCAAGGGUUCUGGACUGUUCCCAAAGAAGACCCUGGAGAACCAGUUGGCUAGAUGUGCCCAUCAGGCCCUAGGUGAAUGGGGACAGAGUCUGGGAGUGUCACAGAAAUUUCCAAGGUGAGAGGGGCUAAAUUAGGUGUUUGGAGAAUAGGGAUCCGGAAGAGAGCACAGAUGGCAUUUGCUGCUUGGCCAACAGGAAAUAUAAUGCCUGCUCUGAGUGACUGAGCGAGAUGGGGAUGUCAGCAUGGUGGUGGGAAAGGGACUCAAGGGGCUGUGGGGUGGAUGCACCAGGCUACAGACUCUUGAGUGUCUGGAUUGAAGCUGGAGAUGCAGGGUCAUAGUCUGUAACAGAAACCACAGAAGUACUUAUGAAAGAGAAGAAUGCAUAAUGUAGAACCCACCCACUUUCACCCAUCAUCCACUCAUUCACCCAUCAAUCCUUCCCCCAUCCAUCUACCCUUCAACUCCGCCUAUGUAUGAGGGGUGGCCUCCAAUAUGUUGAGGCCAAAACAAGGUAUCAAGCAAAAGCUGACAAGUUUGCUGAGGGCCAUGUUCCUGGCUGGAAGAUGGAAUGACCCAGCCCGAGUCCUGGCUCUGUCCCUCUUCAGUCAUGAAUCAUCCUGCCAUGUGUCUGAGGUCCCAGGAGCUCAGGAGCCCACGCACACCUGCUGGACCUCAGAUACACAGUUACUCCACUGCCAGCAUGUGGCAGACUCAGAUUUUGGCAAGGCGACCCAGUCUAGAAGAAUGGUCGUAUGUUCUUGUGGAGGGGGUCUAUAGCAUGCCAACGUCUGUUAACAUCUACAUGUGCAAGGAACAUUCAGGCUCCUCUGUCCUGAGCAGGGCAUGAGGACUCCACAUUUGGAAAUGGCCACAGUGCUCCAUGCAAAGGUAAAACCCCCUCAGACCAGCCCCAGCCUUGCCAGCUGCCUCUCCUGCUCCACUUCCCAUGGGCCUCCACAUAGCCUGGCCAGUCUGCAGGUAGGAAGCCCCAGAGGGCCAACCUGGGACUUGGUUAAAUGUCCUAGAGAAAGUGCCAGGUUGUGCCCUUGGACAGAGCCCUGGAAACUGCCAGGUUGUUGCCCUUCCCCCGCCUGAGGUAGGCGCAGGUCUGGCCUCUGCAGAUGGGCUCUGUUUGGGGUCUCAGCCCAUACCAAGCUGUGCUCUUCCACCUUCCCACUUCCGACACUGCACCUGGGGCACUGUGCAUAACUUCAACAGGUUGGACAUCACAGAGUUCCUGCUCUCAUGGCACCAUGUGCAAGUGAGACCACAGACACCAGUGCAGAUGAGACGACCCCAUGGAGGACUCAGUUGGCUGCAGUAAUAAAGGAACCCUCACAAGGUGCCUGGGUGGGGGCUCAGUCCGACUCUUGGUUUCGGUUCGGGUCAUGAUCUCAGGGUCAUGAGAUGGAGUCCAGAGUCUUAGGAAGCUUCUGGGGGUAGGAGGGUAUUCAGAGUCCUGCCUAGGCAGAAGCCCAGUGGGCAGGUGCUGGGAGAAGAGGUGAGCAGGCCAAGGAGAACAAGCUGGGCUGAGUGGGCCACACCAGGAUGGAUCCCUAUAAGCAGCCCUCAAAUGCUGACAUGCUCAAAAACAGUCCUGCUGCUCAAAGGGAGCUCACAUUUGGCGGGAAGUCCAACAUAUAAAUUGUCACUUCCAGGGCCAGUCUGGAGUCCCUGUGUAGCCUGGGAGUCUCUCAGAGGUGGGCCUGGGGAGAGCAGCUUGUAGCCAGCCACCCUCCUAGCCUUCCACCAACUGACCCCUCAUCUCCAGCUUUCCUCUGCCUCUAGGCUUGCUGUGCUGAUGCCCCCACCCGAAUGUCUCCUCUUCUCCUUC
This 4101-nucleotide long non-coding RNA is filed under the name Canis lupus familiaris (dog). RNAcentral's name for it is "lncRNA (ENSCAFG00000048860.2)". The record is from RNAcentral. Lineage: Eukaryota; Metazoa; Chordata; Mammalia; Carnivora; Canidae.